Molecule: ribosomal RNA, 1677 nt
Filed under: Salmonella enterica
Lineage: Bacteria; Pseudomonadati; Pseudomonadota; Gammaproteobacteria; Enterobacterales; Enterobacteriaceae
Also listed under: 2 other names
Description: partial 23S ribosomal RNA
Rfam family: Bacterial large subunit ribosomal RNA
Source: RNAcentral
CUGGAGGUAUCAGAAGUGCGAAUGCUGACAUAAGUAACGAUAAAGCGGGUGAAAAGCCCGCUCGCCGGAAGACCAAGGGUUCCUGUCCAACGUUAAUCGGGGCAGGGUGAGUCGACCCCUAAGGCGAGGCCGAAAGGCGUAGUCGAUGGGAAACGGGUUAAUAUUCCCGUACUUGGUGUUACUGCGAAGGGGGGACGGAGAAGGCUAUGUUGGCCGGGCGACGGUUGUCCCGGUUUAAGCGUGUAGGUGUGUGUUCCAGGUAAAUCCGGUUCACUUUAACACUGAGGCGUGAUGACGAGGCACUACGGUGCUGAAGCAACAAAUGCCCUGCUUCCAGGAAAAGCCUCUAAGCAUCAGGUAACAUCAAAUCGUACCCCAAACCGACACAGGUGGUCAGGUAGAGAAUACCAAGGCGCUUGAGAGAACUCGGGUGAAGGAACUAGGCAAAAUGGUGCCGUAACUUCGGGAGAAGGCACGCUGACACGUAGGUGAAGUGAUUUACUCAUGGAGCUGAAGUCAGUCGAAGAUACCAGCUGGCUGCAACUGUUUAUUAAAAACACAGCACUGUGCAAACACGAAAGUGGACGUAUACGGUGUGACGCCUGCCCGGUGCCGGAAGGUUAAUUGAUGGGGUCAGCGCAAGCGAAGCUCCUGAUCGAAGCCCCGGUAAACGGCGGCCGUAACUAUAACGGUCCUAAGGUAGCGAAAUUCCUUGUCGGGUAAGUUCCGACCUGCACGAAUGGCGUAAUGAUGGCCAGGCUGUCUCCACCCGAGACUCAGUGAAAUUGAACUCGCUGUGAAGAUGCAGUGUACCCGCGGCAAGACGGAAAGACCCCGUGAACCUUUACUAUAGCUUGACACUGAACAUUGAGCCUUGAUGUGUAGGAUAGGUGGGAGGCUUUGAAGUGUGGACGCCAGUCUGCAUGGAGCCGGCCUUGAAAUACCACCCUUUAAUGUUUGAUGUUCUAACGUGGACCCGUGAUCCGGGUUGCGGACAGUGUCUGGUGGGUAGUUUGACUGGGGCGGUCUCCUCCUAAAGAGUAACGGAGGAGCACGAAGGUUGGCUAAUCCUGGUCGGACAUCAGGAGGUUAGUGCAAUGGCAUAAGCCAGCUUGACUGCGAGCGUGACGGCGCGAGCAGGUGCGAAAGCAGGUCAUAGUGAUCCGGUGGUUCUGAAUGGAAGGGCCAUCGCUCAACGGAUAAAAGGUACUCCGGGGAUAACAGGCUGAUACCGCCCAAGAGUUCAUAUCGACGGCGGUGUUUGGCACCUCGAUGUCGGCUCAUCACAUCCUGGGGCUGAAGUAGGUCCCAAGGGUAUGGCUGUUCGCCAUUUAAAGUGGUACGCGAGCUGGGUUUAGAACGUCGUGAGACAGUUCGGUCCCUAUCUGCCGUGGGCGCUGGAGAACUGAGGGGGGCUGCUCCUAGUACGAGAGGACCGGAGUGGACGCAUCACUGGUGUUCGGGUUGUCAUGCCAAUGGCACUGCCCGGUAGCUAAAUGCGGAAGAGAUAAGUGCUGAAAGCAUCUAAGCACGAAACUUGCCCCGAGAUGAGUUCUCCCUGAGACUUAGAGUCUCCUGAAGGAACGUUGAAGACGACGACGUUGAUAGGCCGGGUGUGUAAGCGCAGCGAUGCGUUGAGCUAACCGGUACUAAUGAACCGUGAGGCUUAACCUUACA